CGGGUAUUGUAAAGUUUCUAAGCUGCAAGGUCUGAGUUAAAAUGUAAAGGAUUAGGUAUUGUUAGGUUUCUAUGCUACCUGCAAAACCUGAAAUUUCUGUAGCUGUUAAGACAAUGCUUGGAACCACCCAGUAAAUAUUUCCCCUGACUGCUUGGUUGUUUAAUAACUGAAGGGCUCUGUGUGGUCGCACGUAGGCAUCGCAGGGCCUAAACCAAUCAGUUUGAAUGUGUACCCCACUUUAGAACUGACCUAUCACCCCCGCCCGACCUGUUCCCGCCAAUGAAUGAACUAAUCAUGUUUAG
Molecule: long non-coding RNA, 302 nt
Filed under: Marmota monax (woodchuck)
Lineage: Eukaryota; Metazoa; Chordata; Mammalia; Rodentia; Sciuridae
Source: RNAcentral